This 21-nucleotide non-coding RNA is filed under the name Caenorhabditis elegans. Lineage: Eukaryota; Metazoa; Nematoda; Chromadorea; Rhabditida; Rhabditidae. The record is from RNAcentral.
UGUGAUCUCAGGAUCUCGCUG